Molecule: ribosomal RNA, 460 nt
Filed under: uncultured bacterium
Lineage: Bacteria
Description: partial 16S ribosomal RNA
Rfam family: Bacterial small subunit ribosomal RNA
Source: RNAcentral
CCUACGGGAGGCAGCAGUGAGGAAUAUUGGUCAAUGGACGAGAGUCUGAACCAGCCAAGUAGCGUGAAGGAUGACUGCCCUAUGGGUUGUAAACUUCUUUUAUAAAGGAAUAAAACGAGGCACGUGUGCCUUUUUGCAUGUCCUUUAUCAAUAAGGAUCGGCUAACUCCGGGCCAGCAGCCGCGGUAAUACGGAGGUUCCGAGCGUUAUCCGGAUUUAUUGGGUUUAAAGGGUGCGUAGAUGGGUUGUUAAGUCAGUGGUGAAAGUUUGCGGGUCAACCGUAAAAUUGCAAUUGAUACUGGCAGCCUUGAGUACAGUAGAGGUAGGCGGAAUUCGUGGUGUAGCGGUGAAAUGCUUAGAUAUCACGAAGAACACCGGUUGCGAAGGCAGCUUACUAAACUGCCACUGACAUUGAUGCUCGAAAGUGUGGGUAUCAAACAGGAUUAGAUACCCGAGUAGUC